GCCGCGCGGAGGCCAGUGUCUCGCUGGUCCCGCAGUGGAGUACGCGUCGCCGCCUGGACGCCGGGGGGGCUUCCAGAGCCAGUGUGCUGUCUCCCACUCCACCCCCCGGUGAGCAAGGCCCAGGGAGGGCUCACCUGCCAGGAUGACCCCAGUCAGAAGGAGGACCAGAUGCUGACAGGCCAUGGCCAGAGGCAGGGAGGCAGGUGUGAGCACUGAGACAAGUCCUGUCCAGAGGCAGAGUGAUGCUGACGAGCUGCGGGGAGGAUCUGGGCCUCCUCCUGCCUCCUGCCUUGAGCUCUGCCUGCAGAGGGUGAAUGAAUAGUCUAAUCACUGGGGAGCAGUGGCAGGACAGCUAAGAAGGAGGUAUCCUGACCCGCCAUGAGUCCAGAGGCCCAACCACAACCAGACGGAAAGGGGCAAUGCAAACGCUGCACACGCUGGAAAACAAUGGCAGUUUCUUACAAAGUUGAACAUACUCUCCCCAGAGGACCCAGCAAUCCCUCUUGCUGAGAUUUACAGUAGAGAAAUGGAAACGUCUCUUUACCCAGAGACCUGCAGGUGAGUGUCUGUACUGGCUUUACUCAUAAUCACCCAAAAUGGGAAACAAUCCAAACAGCAGCAGGUGAGUGGAUCCACAGACCGUGGCACCUCCAGGCAGUGGGACCCUCCCGGGUGAUGAAAGGAAGGACCCAUUGACACCGGUUGACGACCCCGGUGAAUCCCGCACGCAUGGAGC
Molecule: long non-coding RNA, 736 nt
Organism: Physeter macrocephalus (sperm whale)
Lineage: Eukaryota; Metazoa; Chordata; Mammalia; Artiodactyla; Physeteridae
Exons: 3
Source: RefSeq, a predicted model, not a curated record